Long non-coding RNA from Oncorhynchus masou masou (cherry salmon), 362 nucleotides. RefSeq lists it as uncharacterized. NCBI's taxonomy places the organism in Eukaryota, Metazoa, Chordata, Actinopteri, Salmoniformes, Salmonidae. The record is from RefSeq and is a predicted model, not a curated record. The transcript has 3 exons.
CUAAGCCAUCAGUUUAGAGGAAAGAAGAGAAACACGCAAAAGAUAAAGUGCGGCGGGUAGCCUAGUGGUUAGAGCGUUGAGCCAGUAACUGAAAGUUUGCUGGAUUCGAAUCACUGAGCUGACAAGGCUGAAGGGGAGUUUCACCCAUGGAGCCAUACAAGCUAGAACUGCCACUGCUUAUGGGGAUGACUUAGAAACGCUCCUGCUUUUUUUUGUUCUACUACAAUGGUGGAUUUUGUUUCCCUCUUGAUCUGAAUGUGUGCCUUCCCUGUGUGCAUUUUAAUUUUUAGGGCAAUGCAUGCCAACAUGUGUUAUGCCAUGGUAGUAAAGACAAGCUGCAUCCCUUAUAUGGGUGAAAUGAA